GCAACAGGCAAUGAGGCAAGGAGAGAUCGAUGCGAUGAUCUGAAGCUUCUCCGACCAAAAUCCGACGAUCACGAUGUCGAAUUAAGGUGUUCUGAAUGGCAUUCAGCUCCUGGAGUCACGAGCUUCCUUUUCUGACUAAUGGCACCUCAUGGUACCUCCAAUGCUCGUCGGAAUCAUAAGAAUCGAGGAGAGAUAAAAUGAGUAGAACCGUAAAUUUUCGACCAAAUUUCAGUCAAUCCUACCGUCACCU
RNAcentral lists this long non-coding RNA (250 nucleotides) under Manihot esculenta (cassava). RNAcentral's name for it is "long non-coding RNA (MESC_LNC001166)". Lineage: Eukaryota; Viridiplantae; Streptophyta; Magnoliopsida; Malpighiales; Euphorbiaceae. The record is from RNAcentral.